ACGGGAGGCAGCAGUGAGGAAUAUUGGUCAAUGGAGGCAACUCUGAACCAGCUAUCUCGCGUGAAGGAAUACGGCCCUACGGGUCUUAAACUUCUUUUAUAGGGGGAUAAAGUGAGCCACGUGUGGCUUUUUGUAGGUACCCUAUGAAUAAGCAUCGGCUAACUCCGUGCCAGCAGCCGCGGUAAUACGGAGGAUGCGAGCGUUAUCCGGAUUUAUUGGGUUUAAAGGGUGCGUAGGCGGUCCUUUAAGUCAGCGGUCAAAUGUCAGCGCCCAACGCUGGCCUGCCGUUGAUACUGGAGGACUUGAAUACACACAAGGAAGGUGGAAUUCGUCGUGUAGCGGUGAAAUGCUUAGAUAUGACGAAGAACUCCGAUUGCGAAGGCAGCCUUCUGGAGUGCGAUUGACGCUGAGGCUCGAAAGCGCGGGUAUCAAACAGGAUUAGAUACCCUGGUA
Molecule: ribosomal RNA, 453 nt
Filed under: uncultured Paraprevotella sp.
Lineage: Bacteria; Pseudomonadati; Bacteroidota; Bacteroidia; Bacteroidales; Prevotellaceae
Description: partial 16S ribosomal RNA
Rfam family: Bacterial small subunit ribosomal RNA
Source: RNAcentral